RNAcentral lists this ribosomal RNA (1822 nucleotides) under Charaphloeus adustus. Its description in RNAcentral is "eukaryotic LSU rRNA". It matches the Rfam family "Eukaryotic large subunit ribosomal RNA", at positions 47 to 1554 of the family's 3401-position model. The record is from RNAcentral. Lineage: Eukaryota; Metazoa; Arthropoda; Insecta; Coleoptera; Laemophloeidae.
UAAGCGGAGGAAAAGAAACUAACUAGGAUUCCCUCAGUAGCUGCGAGCGAACAGGGAUAAGCCCAGCACCGAAUCCCGCGGCCGACACGGACGCCGGGAAAUGUGGUGUUUGGGAGGAUUCAUAAUCACGAGGUUUGGUGUUGCGUCCAAGUCCUUCUUGAACGGGGCCACAGCCCAUAGAGGGUGCCAGGCCCGUAGUGACCAAUACCUGUCGCGUGAGAAUCUCUCCUUAGAGUCGGGUUGCUUGAGAGUGCAGCCCUAAGUGGGUGGUAAACUCCAUCUAAGGCUAAAUAUAACCACGAGACCGAUAGCGAACAAGUACCGUGAGGGAAAGUUGAAAAGCACUUUGAAGAGAGAGUUCAAGAGUACGUGAAACCGUUCAGGGGUAAACCUGAGAAACCCGAAAGGUCGAAAGGGGAAAUUCAUUCGUAUCUCGAUGUUGGCAUUAGGCGAUUGUAUGACAAUUGUUAUCUUGUAUAGCGGUUGCAUCUUUAGUUUAAUGAACUGAUGUCGAAUGCGUGCACUUUUCCCCAAGUAGGACGCCGCGAUCCGUUGUGUGUCGGUCUAAGGCCCAUGGUGGAGCCCAUUUGGAUGGCAUUUACGUGUCAUUGUCCGAAUGGACCCGUGGUGUUCCCGGCCGACGUGCACGACGGUAUACAGAUGGCGCAGAGCCGCGACUUUAGUUCGCGUUCGGCCCAUGGCAAGCACGCCACGGUGUGUUGGCGAUCGGACCUAGUGCCGUUCCCGGCCCCUGGCGACUGUUGGCUGUGGUGUUCUCGAACAGACUCUGUAAUAUGAAACGCCGAUCUGCGGCGCUAUAGCUUUGGGUACUUUCAGGACCCGUCUUGAAACACGGACCAAGGAGUCUAGCAUGUGCGCGAGUCAUUGGGAAAUAACUAAACCUAAAGGCGUAAUGAAAGUGAAAGUUUGUCUUGCACAAACUCAGGGAGGAUGAGUGGUUUGCCCAUAAAGUGGCCACUCCGCACUCCCGGGGCGUCUCAUUCUUAUUGCAAGAAGAGGCGCACCAAGAGCGUACACGCUGGGACCCGAAAGAUGGUGAACUAUGCCUGGUCAGGACGAAGUCAGGGGAAACCCUGAUGGAGGUCCGUAGCGAUUCUGACGUGCAAAUCGAUCGUCGGAACUGGGUAUAGGGGCGAAAGACUAAUCGAACCAUCUAGUAGCUGGUUCCCUCCGAAGUUUCCCUCAGGAUAGCUGGCGCUCAUUGCGCACGAGUCUCAUCCGGUAAAGCGAAUGAUUAGAGGCAUUGGGGUCGAAACGACCUCAACCUAUUCUCAAACUUUAAAUGGGUGAGAUCUCCGGCUUGCUUAACACAAUUUUGUGAAGCCGUGAGAUUUCGGAUCAGAGUGCCAAGUGGGCCAUUUUUGGUAAGCAGAACUGGCGCUGUGGGAUGAACCAAACGCUGAGUUAAAGCGCCUAAAUCGACGCUUAUGGGAUACCAUGAAAGGCGUUGGUAACUUAAGACAGCAGGACGGUGGCCAUGGAAGUCGGAAUCCGCCAAGGAGUGUGUAACAACUCACCUGCCGAAGUUACUAGCCCUGAAAAUGGAUGGCGCUGAAGCGUCGUGCUUAUACUCAGCCGUCAGUGGCAUGUGCGGUCCCAUUUUUGGGGCCAUGAAGCUCUGACGAGUAGGAGGGUCGCGGCGGUGAGCGCUGAAGGGCUGGCCGUGAGGCCGUCUGGAGCCGCCGUCGGUGCAGAUCUUGGUGGUAGUAGCAAAUACUCCAGCGAGGYCCUGGAGGACUGACGUGGAGAAGGGUUUCGUGUGAACAGCCGUUGCACACGAGUCAGUCGAUCCUAAGCCCUA